AGAUUCUUAGUUUAAUUUUGAAUGUCUCUUUUACACAGAGGGGGUUGUAGAAUCUU
Molecule: transfer RNA, 56 nt
Filed under: Heterakis gallinarum
Lineage: Eukaryota; Metazoa; Nematoda; Chromadorea; Rhabditida; Heterakidae
Description: tRNA-Val
Source: RNAcentral